RNAcentral lists this long non-coding RNA (9294 nucleotides) under Zea mays. RNAcentral's name for it is "long non-coding RNA (ZMAY_LNC000389)". The record is from RNAcentral. Lineage: Eukaryota; Viridiplantae; Streptophyta; Magnoliopsida; Poales; Poaceae.
GUCAUAAAACAUCAGAGUAUUUAUUACAUAGCGGAAGACUUAUUACAAAAUAAAAGAAUAAAUAUAAAACGAACUAAGGAUCGUUGGCGCCAAUGUCGACUGAGAAACGCCACCUAGAUCAGAUCAAACUCCUCGCCUUGUAGCUCCUCCUGAACCACCUGCUCUUCUCCUGUGGGGGGGGUGUGAGACAGCAAGAGUGAGCUCACAUACGUUCAUCGCUCAACAAGUCGUGGGGAAUAAUGUGGCAUGAACUCACCAAAGGUGGGAGUUCAUGAAGUGUAAGGCUGAUCAAUGAAAUAGAGGCUGAAGCUGAGCAUUGCUUUUAUAAGUUGGUCAAAAUUUUAUUAGCAAUUACUAAGUGUAAGUAAAUACCAAACCUUAAUAAUAAUAAAUAAAGUAAUAGUAAAAUAAUCCCAAAUGCGAUGCAAAUGUCAAAUUGAAUUUAAGUUCCAUAAUUAAUCAUGUGAGGGUCCGAGCCGCUCAUGACCGUGAGCACGGCUAGUAUACCAGUUUUACACUCUGCAGAGGUUGCGCAUCUUUACCCACAAGUCAUGUUACCCAUCUGCCAAGAGAUGGCCAAUCCCAUACACCUCUACCGAGGAGGCGAGGCAGGGUAACACUACGAGGCCUUUACAAAGUUCCACUAGCUUCAGAAAUCCCGCUACAGUUUAUAGGAAGCUCCAAUACAGGGUUCUUGCCUGACCGCCAUCGCAGCAAAAUCAACCCAAGGACCUCCCUACACUGACCACUCCCCUACUGCCCUUGCCCCUUUCGGGUAAGGAAGACCUCCACUAGCUUUCCUAGUUAAUCAGCCAAGGGCGUCCCAUUAUACCCUUGUGGUAGCACUGUUUUCCCGGGUGGUCGCUCCAUGUUCCCAUUAAUUUAAUGAUCUUAACAUGAACAGUAAUAAUAACAAGAUAAUAACAGGAUAAUCAUGUGUAGUAUAACUCCAUACCCAAUCCACAUAAAGCAAUAGCAAGUACUACCCAAAAAUAUUUCAGGGGUGAACAAGGUAUAGAGGUAAUCAAAACUGGGGUAACAUAAAGGAUCCCAUCAAAAUUAACCUAUGCAGAUCAUUAAAAUUAAUAAGAACAUGGCUGGGAAAAGUAAGUGAUCAAGGGCACAACUUGCCUUCAAUGAGCUCCUGCUCAGCUAUCUCUACUUGCUGAACCUCAGAUUCCACAGUGGCUUGCUCGUCUACUCUCGCAUCAACACAAUACAUACAUAGUAUAGCACCAAUUAACAUUGCACCAAACAUGUGAAUAAAAUACACAAUAAAAUUUUACGCAUUAAAAUAAGAACCUAGGAACAGGAAUCAUAAUUUUUAGAGUUAUAGAUUUUAAGUUAUGAAUUUCCUAAGGUUUAAUGUGCUUGAGAUAGGAUUAAAUGAUAAAUUAAUUUUCUUACUGUUUUCAUGCCAAAACAGAGGCACUAAAUGAUAGAGGAUAUUAUUAAAAAAUUUUAGAAAUAUGGCUCAAUUUGGAGCUAUAAUGAAUUUAAUAUGAUUUAUCCAAGUUUCUGGAAUUGUUUUUAUACUAAAAACCUAUUUUCUUUAUUAUUCCUGAAUUUCCUAAGAGUUCUGGACCACAGACAUAAUUAACAGAGAGUUCGGGGCUUAAACUACAAAUUCCAGGGCUCGGUUCUAAUUAUUUAACACUGUGCGCGGAUGGCGGGUUCAUUUGAAAAGAGUCCGAGGGCUCUUUUGCAAAAGGCCCAGGACGAAGGGGUAUGGGGGAUCUCUGGCCGCAAGAUCGACAACGGACGGCUACGAUUAGAUCUGGCCUAUUAUGAAACGUUACGCGACGACGUCCCUCGGAUCAGAGACCAACGGUGUGGAUUUAAAAAAAAUGACCGCGGCAGGUUCACGUCCGUCCGAUAGCAUCCGACGGCUUAGAACCAAUGCGCGAAGCGGUACGACCGCUGCCCUAAUCUGCACCGUCGACCCGUCAAUCAACGGCAACGGCAAUUUGCCCCCAGGCUUCUUCAACCUCACGACGCGGCUUCCUCACCGGAGCAACGCGUUGCCACUUCCUCACCGGAGCAACGCGAGCCCACCCCCAGGUGACCCAAUCACGAACCUAACCGGUGAUAGUGCAUAAGUAAGGAUGACGGUACGAAGGGGGCCACUUACUGGCGAAGAUGCCGUGAUGAACACCUUCCACGGCGAGGUAUGGCCCGUGGCGAAUCCACUGGGUCAGGUGAGGGCUCCCGGUGUCCUCCCUGUUCCCCCGCGGCCACCAGUACGCGCUCGGUACGGUCUUGCGCGCGCACCGGUCUGCGUCCAGGAUACCGAGAUGAAGCACACGCCCCCAAAUCCAUUGGCGCCCGUGAUUCCUUCUCAUCUCCACGAACUCGUCAAUGGCGACCACUCAUCACCCCGGUUUGCGCGACUGUGCACAACGCAGCAUGGCUAGAUGAGAAUAGCUGCGAGAUGGGAUAGCGGCACCCGAUACUUAAACCUGCGAGGGCACCGCAACGGCCCGAGAAGAGGGGGAAAUCUGGUCAGCAGAGCGCGCGAUGCGCACGGCGUCUAUUACGGGUAACCAGCGAAGGAGAAGGAGCUGACCGGGGGCCCCGCUGUUCAGUGCGAUGGAUUUAUGGUCAAGGACUGUCGCACCGGACCACCGGUCAUCGGAAAAGCGGGCACGGUUGGAGACUGACGUCUGGGCCCACACGGCGAAGCACGCAGCGAAGCCCGUGGUGGACGAUUGAGGCAGACGGCUGCAGUUGGGGCCCACACGUCGGUGACUGGCGCACGGUUUAGAGAAUUGGGCUGCGUAGAGGAGUUCACAGGGUGGGCUGAAUUGCAAGCCAAAGGCCCAGCUAAGUUAAUUACCCCUUUUCUUUUAUUCUAUUGGAAUUUCCAUUUACAAAUUUGAAUUUGGUUUUCAAUUCCCAAAUCCAAUUGAAAUUCAAAGUUCACGGCAAAUUUGUCUUCACAUUUAUAUGCUCAAUUCCUCUACACAUAGUAUGGAUAAAUUUAUUUAUUUCUCCAUUUAUUCUAUUUUGCAUAAUAUUUCCUUUCUCUAACUCAAACCCUAAUUCUCUAUUUAGGAUUCCAAUUUCCUCUCAUUAUUAUAUUUCUUUUAUUAUUAUUAUUAUAUUGUCACAAAUAAUGCACACAAAAUAAAAUUUCAUCAUGAUGCAAUGAUUUAGUGGUAUACAUAUUUUAUAAUUAUCUGUUUUAAAAUAUGGUGUUCACAUGUGAUGGCACAAAAAGUUCAAACUCCCACAUAGAUAAAGUGAACUUGUUUCUCCCUUUGAUAUUAGCUCUUGCAAAUUACAAAUCGGGUAUUACAAAUCCUACCCCCCUUAAAAAGAAUCUCAUCCUCGAGAUUUAAGAAGGUCUAGUGAAAAGGUGGGGAAAAUAUAUGCGGAGUUCUUCUUCUCUUUCCCAAGUUACUUCAUCCUCUCCAUGGUGACUCCAUUGCACUUUGCACAUCUUUGUCACCUUAUUUCUUGUAACUCAAGUUAAUGUAUCCAGAAUCUUGAUAGGUUACUCCGUGUAAGUCAAAUCCUCCUGAACACUGAGCUCGUCCAUUGGUAGCUGUUCCUCAGGGACACGGAGACACUUCUUAAGUUGAGACACAUGAAAUACAUUAUGCACAUCAGAUAGAUUAUCAGGUAGCUCGAGUUGAUAGGCCAUCUCUCCAACUUGCCUAAAAACUCAGAACGGUCCAAUAUAGCGAGGGGACAAUUUUCCCUGAUUAUACAGACCUGUUCUUCUGCCUAUUGAAUAAGUUUGGGUCCAAAGAACUGUCUUCCUCUAGUCUGGUCCAAUAUAGAGGAAUCCUGCAUUUCCUGCCAUAUAGAGCCUCGAACGGUGACAUCUUCAGACUGGCCUGGUAACUAUUAUGAGAACACAGCAUAAGGUAGACUCUUGUCCCAACUACUACCAUGCUGAAGGACAUAAGCUCUCAACAUGUCCUCCAAUACUUGAUUAGUCCUUUUAGUCUGUCCAUCAGUCUGAGGAUGGUAGGCCAAACCAAAAUUCAACUUCAAAUCCAUAUUCUCACGACAACUUUUCCAAAAUCUGGAGGUAAAUUGUGAUCCUCUAUCCAAAAUGAUCUUCUUCGGUACACCAUGUAGAGACACAAUCCGAGCCAUAUAUAACUCAGCCAGUUGAGAUCACUUAUAAGUAGUCUUGAAAGAAAUGAAGUGAGCUAUUUUAGUCAAUCUAUCCAUAAUAACCCAUAUAGCAUCAUAUCCUUUCUGGGUGCGAGGCAAUCCAGUAAUGAAAUCCAUACCAAUCUCUUCCCACUUCCACUCGGGUAGCUUUAAUGGGUGUAGUAGUCUAGCUGGCCUCUGGUGUUCAGCCUUAACUCUUCGACCCACAUCGCACAUUGCCAUAUGUGCAGCCACAUCUCUCUUCAAUCCAUACCACCAGUAUUUCUGCUUCAAAUCCCGAUACAUCUUAGUGCUACCAAGAUGAAUACAAUAAUCCGAGUCAUGGCCUCCUUCAAUAUGGUUUCCCAAAGACUAUCAAUAUCGGGAACACAGAUCCGAUUCUUGAACCAUAUCGUGCCUUGCUCAUCCUCUGUGAAUUCCGGGCCUCUACCCUUCAGUAAUCAGAUCCUUCAUCUCUUGUAUCUUAGCAUCACCAAUUUGUCCUUUGCGGAUCUCUUGCUCCAAAAUAGGUUCCACAUCAAUAGUAACUCCUUCAGUGUGAGCAACUAUCCCCAGGUUAAGUCUCCUAAAAUCCUCAACAAUCUCAUCGGGUAGCUGGGCAACAACAACUGAAUGAACAUGCUCCUUUCGACUCAAGGCAUCUGCAACCAAAUUUGCCUUGCCCGGGUGAUAGUGAAUCUCCAAAUCAUAAUCCUUAAUAAGCUCCAACCAAUGGCGUUGCCUAAGGUUGAGAUCCUUCUGAGUGAAUAUAUACUUUAAAUACUUAUGAUCCGUAUACACUUGUCACUUGGUUCCAAUAUUAUAAUGUCUCCAAAUCUUAAGCGCAUGCACAACGGUUGCCAGUUCUAAGUCAUGAGUGGGGUAGUUCAACUCAUGUUUCCGUAACUGACGAGACGAGUAGACGAUCACAUGUCCUUCUUGCAUGAGCACACAUCCCAAUCCUUGGCUACAUGCAUCACAAUAAAUGUCAAAUCCCUUCUGCAGAUCUGGCAUAAUUAAUACUGGUGGUGACAUCAAUCUCUUCUUCAAUUAAUCGAAGCUGUCUUGGCAUUUCUCAUCCCACUAAUUCUCUUCCUUUCUCCAGAAGCGAGGUCAUAGGCUAGGCAAUCUUAGAGAACCCUUCAAUAAAUCUCCGAUAAUAUCCUACAAGCCCCAAGAAACUCCGAAUCUCAGUGACGGUAGUGGGCACGCUCCAUUCCAUUAUCUCCUUCACUUUAGCAGGAUCCACUGCUAUUCCUCCAUUAGAAAUAAUAUGACCAAGGAAUGGCACCUUGUCAAUCCAAAACUCGCACUUGCUAAACUUGGCAUAGAGUUGAUUAUCUCGUAGCUUCUGUAGCACCAAUCUCAGGUGUUCCUCAUGAUCACUUUCACUCUUAGAAUAGAUAAGAAUAUCGUCCAUAAAUACUACGACGAAUCUGUCCAAAUACUCCAUAAACACCUUAUUCAUCAAAUCCAUAAAAUAAGCUGGUGCAUUAGCUAAUCCAAACGACAUAACAGAGAACUCAUAUAAUCCAUAUCGAGUCGAGUAAGAUGUCUUGGGAAUAUCCGAUGACCUAAUCUUCAUUUGAUGAUAACCCGAUCGGAGAUCAAUCUUCGAGAAUACCCUUGCACCUCUUGUCUGUAUAAAUCCUCAAUGCGGGGUAAUGGACACUUGUUCUUCACAGUGACGUCGUUAAGGGACCUGUAAUCCACGUACACUCCUUGCGAUCCUUCUUUCUUCUGUACAAUUAGAAUCGACGCUCCAUAAGGUGAAGAAUUCGGAGGAAUGUACCCAGCCUCUUGCAACUCUGUUAAGUGCUUCUUUAGUUCUUUUAACUCUUCUACAGACAUUUUAUGUGUCCAUUUAGAAAUAGGAGCAAUUCCAGGUAAGAGAUCUAUGACAAACUCAACUUCCCUAUAUGGUGGCAUCCCUGGUAACUCUUCUGGAUAGACAUCCAGAAAAUCUCUAACUGCACGGAUGUUGUCACCCACAAACUUCUCAUCUACUAAGAUUGCCGCUAGUCUGAUGGUGGUAGUUACUGCAACUUCAACUUCAAAUCUUUGUCCUUUGGAACUGGUGAGUUCUACGGUUCCCUUAGCACGGUGUAUAUACUGCCUUUGCCUUUAUUAACCAUGAUAUACCAAGGAUCAUGUCUAUAGUGCUCUCUUCUAACACUAUAGGGGUAGCCCAUCUGGGUUAGAAACACAGGGGACGAAAGAAAGAAUUGUAGACAAGGCGAGUAAUUACGAGAAAUGUUACUGCGGGGGAUUUAUUAGCUAAGUAGAUUAGUGUGUUACCUACUAAAGCUAAUAUAUUACCUUAUGGUGGUACAUGCUAAGAUGCCCAACUAUAAUUUUUCAAUCAAUCAAAGAAGCAAAUCAGGCAUUGAUCAUCAGAACAAUCAACCAACAUUUUUUUAAAAAAUAGAGAAAAUAGUUUUAAUUUUGUCUUAGGUCUCCUAUCUCUUAAAAAGUUCAUAAAUGUAGGAUUCCAAGGUGUGAAAUUCAUCUUGUCUCAGAGUAGAAAAGGUAAGAAUGAUCAGAGUAGAACAGUAGAAGGUGAGACAGGAUCAAGGUAAGUAUAGAAAGAGUCAGAGUAAGGUAAGUAUAGGAUGAAUCAGAAUGAGAUAAGUAGGUAAGGGUUGUUCAUUUCUAUCUAGGUUUCGUCCUACAGUCAACAUUUCCUCUGAUACCACUUCUGUCACACCCGGUUUUAAAGGACAAAGCCGGGUGCAUCUCAUACAUGCGCCAAGAAGACAACAUAUAUAAUAACAGAGUGUAUAGAGAUAAAUGUCAUAAAACAUCAGAGUAUUUAUUACAUAGCGGAAGACUUAUUACAAAAUAAAAGAAUAAAUAUAAAACGAACUAAGGAUCGUUGGCGCCAAUGUCGACUGAGAAACGCCACCUAGAUCAGAUCAAACUCCUCGCCUUGUAGCUCCUCCUGAACCACCUGCUCUUCUCCUGUGGGGGGGGGUGUGAGACAGCAAGAGUGAGCUCACAUACGUUCAUCGCUCAACAAGUCGUGGGGAAUAAUGUGGCAUGAACUCACCAAAGGUGGGAGUUCAUGAAGUGUAAGGCUGAUCAAUGAAAUAGAGGCUGAAGCUGAGCAUUGCUUUUAUAAGUUGGUCAAAAUUUUAUUAGCAAUUACUAAGUGUAAGUAAAUACCAAACCUUAAUAAUAAUAAAUAAAGUAAUAGUAAAAUAAUCCCAAAUGCGAUGCAAAUGUCAAAUUGAAUUUAAGUUCCAUAAUUAAUCAUGUGAGGGUCCGAGCCGCUCAUGACCGUGAGCACGGCUAGUAUACCAGUUUUACACUCUGCAGAGGUUGCGCAUCUUUACCCACAAGUCAUGUUACCCAUCUGCCAAGAGAUGGCCAAUCCCAUACACCUCUACCGAGGAGGCGAGGCAGGGUAACACUACGAGGCCUUUACAAAGUUCCACUAGCUUCAGAAAUCCCGCUACAGUUUAUAGGAAGCUCCAAUACAGGGUUCUUGCCUGACCGCCAUCGCAGCAAAAUCAACCCAAGGACCUCCCUACACUGACCACUCCCCUACUGCCCUUGCCCCUUUCGGGUAAGGAAGACCUCCACUAGCUUUCCUAGUUAAUCAGCCAAGGGCGUCCCAUUAUACCCUUGUGGUAGCACUGUUUUCCCGGGUGGUCGCUCCAUGUUCCCAUUAAUUUAAUGAUCUUAACAUGAACAGUAAUAAUAACAAGAUAAUAACAGGAUAAUCAUGUGUAGUAUAACUCCAUACCCAAUCCACAUAAAGCAAUAGCAAGUACUACCCAAAAAUAUUUCAGGGGUGAACAAGGUAUAGAGGUAAUCAAAACUGGGGUAACAUAAAGGAUCCCAUCAAAAUUAACCUAUGCAGAUCAUUAAAAUUAAUAAGAACAUGGCUGGGAAAAGUAAGUGAUCAAGGGCACAACUUGCCUUCAAUGAGCUCCUGCUCAGCUAUCUCUACUUGCUGAACCUCAGAUUCCACAGUGGCUUGCUCGUCUACUCGCAUCAACACAAUACAUACAUAGUAUAGCACCAAUUAACAUUGCACCAAACAUGUGAAUAAAAUACACAAUAAAAUUUUACGCAUUAAAAUAAGAACCUAGGAACAGGAAUCAUAAUUUUUAGAGUUAUAGAUUUUAAGUUAUGAAUUUCCUAAGGUUUAAUGUGCUUGAGAUAGGAUUAAAUGAUAAAUUAAUUUUCUUACUGUUUUCAUGCCAAAACAGAGGCACUAAAUGAUAGAGGAUAUUAUUAAAAAAUUUUAGAAAUAUGGCUCAAUUUGGAGCUAUAAUGAAUUUAAUAUGAUUUAUCCAAGUUUCUGGAAUUGUUUUUAUACUAAAAACCUAUUUUCUUUAUUAUUCCUGAAUUUCCUAAGAGUUCUGGACCACAGACAUAAUUAACAGAGAGUUCGGGGCUUAAACUACAAAUUCCAGGGCUCGGUUCUAAUUAUUUAACACUGUGCGCGGAUGGCGGGUUCAUUUGAAAAGAGUCCGAGGGCUCUUUUGCAAAAGUCCCAGGACGAAGGGGUAUGGGGGAUCUCUGGCCGCAAGAUCGACAACGGACGGCUACGAUUAGAUCUGGCCUAUUAUGAAACGUUACGCGACGACGUCCCUCGGAUCAGAGACCAACGGUGUGGAUUUAAAAAAAAUGACCGCGGCAGGUUCACGUCCGUCCGAUAGCAUCCGACGGCUUAGAACCAAUGCGCGAAGCGGUACGACCGCUGCCCUAAUCUGCACCGUCGACCCGUCAAUCAACGGCAACGGCAAUUUGCCCCCAGGCUUCUUCAACCUCACGACGCGGCUAGAGCUACGUGUCGAAGCCCGCGUUGCCACUUCCUCACCGGAGCAACGCGAGCCCACCCCCAGGUGACCCAAUCACGAACCUAACCGGUGAUAGUGCAUAAGUAAGGAUGACGGUACGAAGGGGGCCACUUACUGGCGAAGAUGCCGUGAUGAACACCUUCCACGGCGAGGUAUGGCCCGUGGCGAAUCCACUGGGUCAGGUGAGGGCUCCCGGUGUCCUCCCUGUUCCCCCGCGGCCACCAGUACGCGCUCGGUACGGUCUUGCGCGCGCACCGGUCUGCGUCCAGGAUACCGAGAUGAAGCACACGCCCCCAAAUCCAUUGGCGCCCGUGAUUCCUUCUCAUCUCCACGAACUCGUCAAUGGCGACCACUCAUCACCCCGGUUUGCGCGACU